UGCGCGACGGACUGCGCUGCUCGGCAGGGAGCUUGAGCUAAGGGAGCAUCAGGAAGGUGACAGUCAGGACGACUGGGUCAGGGAAGGCAGUAGGGAUAGAAAAAAGUGGGGGGCGGAUUAUUCCGCCCCCUUUUUU
RNAcentral lists this small RNA (136 nucleotides) under Halopseudomonas bauzanensis. The record is from RNAcentral. Lineage: Bacteria; Pseudomonadati; Pseudomonadota; Gammaproteobacteria; Pseudomonadales; Pseudomonadaceae.